Molecule: RNA transcript, 1490 nt
Organism: Cucumis sativus (cucumber)
Lineage: Eukaryota; Viridiplantae; Streptophyta; Magnoliopsida; Cucurbitales; Cucurbitaceae
Gene name: thermospermine synthase ACAULIS5
Exons: 10
Source: RefSeq, a predicted model, not a curated record
AAUGAGCAUCUCAAAAAUCCCCUUCAAACCUUCCAACCUCUCUGUUUCGUCAUUAAUUACUACGUUCCCAUUUCUCUCCUUCUUCCUCCUUAACCGAUGGGUCCUGCAGUUCUAAGCUCACACACCAAUUACACCAAUGGCGAUAAUUCUUCUCACGAAUCUGUAAUCAACAAUGUUAGUGGCGACGAUUGCCAUUGGUACGAAGAAAUCAUCGACGAAAACCUCAAAUGGUCCUUUGCUCUUAAUCGUGUUCUGCAGCAAGGAACCAGUGAGUUUCAGGAUAUCGCUCUUUUAGAUACGAAGCGUUUCGGAAAAGCAUUGAUGAUCGAUGGUAAGAUGCAAAGUGCUGAGGCCGACGAGUUUGUUUAUCAUGAAUGCUUAAUUCAUCCCGCUCUGUUAUGUCAUUCCAACCCAAAAAGUGUAUUCAUAAUGGGAGGUGGAGAAGGUUCAGCAGCAAGAGAAGUACUUAAACACAAAUCAAUAGAGAAGGUUGUAAUGUGCGAUAUUGAUCAGGAUGUGGUGGAUUUUUGCCGUAAACAUUUGACUGUGAAUCGAGAGGCAUUUUGUCACAAGAAACUUCAUCUUGUAAUAAACGAUGCAAGGGUGGAAUUGGAGAAGAGAAAGGAGAAAUAUGAUGUAAUAAUAGGAGACCUAGCAGAUCCAGUUAAGGAUGGGCCUUGCUACAAACUCUACACCAAAUCCUUUUAUCAUGACAUCGUCAAACCUAAACUUCACCACAAUGGCAUUUUUGUAACUCAGGCAGGACCAGCCGGAAUUUUCACCCACAAAGAGGUUUUUACCUCAAUUUAUAACACAAUCAAACAGACCUUCAACUAUGUGAUUGCUUACACUGCUUACAUACCAUCUUUUGCAGACACAUGGGGAUGGGUUAUGUUAUAUAUGUUUCGAAAAAACAGGCAUCAGAUCAUCCUUUCUGUAUAAAAUCUGAGGAAUUGGAUAAGAGAAUUGAGGAUAGAAUCAAUGGGGAGUUGCUCUAUUUAACUGGUCCUUCAAUUGUGUCUUCCACAAUCAUCAACAAGAUUGUCUCUUUAGCGUUAUUGAAUGAAACUCACAUCUACACUGAAGCGACUGCAAAAUUCAUACAUGGUCAAGGAGUUGUUGGAUGCAAACAAUUGAAUGGGGGGAGUUGUGGUCGUGGUGUAUAAAUAUACCAUAAUUAAUGAGGACCCUAAAAUAUAUCACACUUUAAUUAAAGACAUCGUUAAUAUAAAAAUCUAAUCAAAAUUAUUACUUUUCACUUAUUUGGUAUAAAAAAAAAAGGAAAGAAAAUUUAGUUGUAUUAUUGAUCAUCUUUUUAAUAUAUAAAUUAGAGUUAGUUGACAAAGUAAGCAGAGCACAAUGAUAUAGUUGGAAUGUAUUAUACCAGGAUCAAAGGAAUUAUUACUAGCCUUUUAACUUUGUUCCAUAUUUAAUAAUAUAUUGUUACAUAAUAGUUAUCUUAUAAUAGAUAUUAUGUUGGUGUGUAGUAA